GGGUUUAAAAGAGAACUUUAAAUAAAAUUUUAAAUAUAAUUUAAACCAUAGUCUUGUACCAUAAAAGUCUAAACAGCACUAUUUAUUUAUUUAUUUUACUUCAGGUGCUUCCUGGGAGAGAUAACAAAGAGAAGAACCUAUAAAAGUGAGAUUGGCUACAACGACUAUGAAAUAUUGUAUCUGGACACACAAUCUAUAUGAUGGUUGAGAAAGGCUGGUAACCACACCCACUUCAACAAAAAUAGCUCCUGGUAACAACGUGCAUCAGAUGAAUUUUUUGUUAAUCUCCUGAAAGAGGAAGGAGAACAAAGGGAACGUGAUGGAGCCACAGAGAGAAGUGACAUGAGGACUAGGAUUUCACCACUAGAGAGUGUAUUUCUACUGUGCAACUUGACCUUUUCUGCUCCCAGAGAAACUGAUUCAAGCCACAGUCAGGUUCCAAGGCAUGGAUCGAGCUGGAUGACAUCUGGACUCUGAGGUAACCUUAGAUGAAUAUGCUGCUUCUGUGCUAGACCCAGUCUUCUUGGAAGCUGCUCCUCCAUAAAUGUUUUAAUAAAGUGCAGUAAGUGC
RNAcentral lists this long non-coding RNA (570 nucleotides) under Anas platyrhynchos platyrhynchos (common mallard). RNAcentral describes it as "lncRNA (ENSAPLG00000025964.1)". The record is from RNAcentral. Lineage: Eukaryota; Metazoa; Chordata; Aves; Anseriformes; Anatidae.